AAUGAAACUAGAUAUGACUUAGUGGCGGACGGGUGAGUAACACGUGAGCAACCUGCCUUUCAGAGGGGGAUAACAGUUGGAAACGGCUGCUAAUACCGCAUAAGCCCACGGCUCGGCAUCGAGCAGAGGGAAAAGGAGCAAUCCGCUUUGAGAUGGCCUCGCGUCCGAUUAGCUAGUUGGUGAGGUAAUGGCCCACCAAGGCGACGAUCAGUAGCCGGACUGAGAGGUUGACCGGCCACAUUGGGACUGAGAUACGGCCCAAACUCC
Molecule: ribosomal RNA, 267 nt
Filed under: uncultured Oscillospiraceae bacterium
Lineage: Bacteria; Bacillati; Bacillota; Clostridia; Eubacteriales; Oscillospiraceae
Description: partial 16S ribosomal RNA
Rfam family: Bacterial small subunit ribosomal RNA
Source: RNAcentral